Molecule: ribosomal RNA, 253 nt
Filed under: uncultured bacterium
Lineage: Bacteria
Description: partial 16S ribosomal RNA
Rfam family: Bacterial small subunit ribosomal RNA
Source: RNAcentral
AACGUAGGAGGCGAGCGUUAUCCGGAGUUACUGGGCGUAAAGCGCGUGUAGGCGGCUGUUUAAGUGUGCUGUGAAAGGUCCCGGCUUAACCGGGAAAGUGCGGCGCAGACUGGACGGCUGGAGGAUGACAGAGGCAGGUAGAAUUCCGGGUGUAGUGGUGAAAUGCGUAGAGAUCCGGAGGAACACCGGUGGCGAAGGCGGCUUCCUGGACCGACACUGACGCUGAGGCGCGAAAGCUAGGGGAGCAAACGGG